Molecule: ribosomal RNA, 490 nt
Filed under: uncultured bacterium
Lineage: Bacteria
Description: partial 16S ribosomal RNA
Rfam family: Bacterial small subunit ribosomal RNA
Source: RNAcentral
AUUGAGCGCUGGCGGCAGGCCUAACACAUGCAAGUCGAACGGUAACAGAAAGCAGCUUGCUGCUUUGCUGACGAGUGGCGGACGGGUGAGUAAUGUCUGGGAAACUGCCUGAUGGAGGGGGAUAACUACUGGAAACGGUAGCCAAUACCGCAUAACGUCGCAAGACCAAAGAGGGGGACCUUCGGGCCUCUUGCCAUCGGAUGUGCCCAGAUGGGAUUAGCUAGUAGGUGGGGUAACGGCUCACCUAGGCGACGAUCCCUAGAUGGUCUGAGAGGAUGACCAGCCACACUGGAACUGAGACACGGUCCAGACUCCUACGGGAGGCAGCAGUGGGGAAUAUUGCACAAUGGGCGCAAGCCUGAUGCAGCCAUGCCGCGUGUAUGAAGAAGGCCUUCGGGUUGUAAAGUACUUUCAGCGGGGAGGAAGGGAGUAAAGUUAAUACCUUUGCUCAUUGACGUUACCCGCAGAAGAAGCACCGGCUAACUCCGUG